GACAUUUGGUGUUGAAGGGCCGCGGUAUUUUGACCGUGCAAAGGUAGCAUAAUCAUUAGUUCUUUAAUUGUGAUCUGGAAUGAAUGGCUUGACGAGGCACGGGCUGUCUUAGUGUUGAAUGUUUUAUUGAAUUUGGUCUUUGAGUUAAAAUUCUUAGAUGUUUUUGUGGGACGAGAAGACCCUAUAGAGUUUGACAUUUGGUUUAUUUACUUGUUUGUUGUUUGUUUAUUUUUGGUGAGUGGGCUUUUUGUUUUGUUGGGGUGAUGGGAGGAAUGUACUUAACUCCUCUUAGUUUUGGUUAUAUUGAUUUAUAAU
Molecule: ribosomal RNA, 315 nt
Filed under: Coptotermes gestroi
Lineage: Eukaryota; Metazoa; Arthropoda; Insecta; Blattodea; Rhinotermitidae
Description: partial 16S ribosomal RNA
Source: RNAcentral